RNAcentral lists this ribosomal RNA (253 nucleotides) under uncultured bacterium. Its description in RNAcentral is "partial 16S ribosomal RNA". It matches the Rfam family "Bacterial small subunit ribosomal RNA", at positions 524 to 776 of the family's 1533-position model. The record is from RNAcentral.
UACGUAGGGGGCUAGCGUUGUCCGGAAUCAUUGGGCGUAAAGAGCGUGUAGGCGGUCCGGUAAGUCCGCUGUGAAAGUCGGGGGCUCAACCCUCGAAUGCCGGUGGAUACUGUCGGGCUAGAGUGCGGAAGAGGCGAGUGGAAUUCCUGGUGUAGCGGUGAAAUGCGCAGAUAUCAGGAGGAACACCUAUGGCGAAGGCAGGUCUCUGGGCAUUAACUGACGCUGAGGAGCGAAAGCAUGGGGAGCGAACAGG